AACGCACCUUGCGCCCUUUGGCCAUUCCGAAGGGCAUGCCUGUUUGAGUAUCAUGAACACCUCAACUCUUCAUGGUUUUCCGUGAUGAGCUUGGACUUUGGGGGUUUUGCUGGCCUACGGUCGGCUCCUCUAAAAUGAAUCAGCUUGCCAGUGUUUGGUGGGCAUCACAGGUGUGAUAACUAUCUACGCUUGUGGUUUUCCCACCAGGUAACCUUCAGCAGUGGAGGUUCGCUGGAGCUCACAGAUGUCUCUCCUCAGUGAGGACAGCCCUUUGAAUGUUUGAUCUCAAAUCAGGUAGGACUACCCGCUGAACUUAA
This 317-nucleotide unclassified non-coding RNA is filed under the name Tomentella sp. Its description in RNAcentral is "partial contains 5.8S ribosomal RNA, internal transcribed spacer 2, and large subunit ribosomal RNA". Lineage: Eukaryota; Fungi; Basidiomycota; Agaricomycetes; Thelephorales; Thelephoraceae. RNAcentral also lists the same sequence under 1 other name. The record is from RNAcentral.